Non-coding RNA from Podospora conica, 124 nucleotides. Lineage: Eukaryota; Fungi; Ascomycota; Sordariomycetes; Sordariales; Podosporaceae. The record is from the annotation of a GenBank genome assembly.
GGGGGUGUGGCUCAGUUGGUAGAGCGUUCGCUUAGCAGUCCAGCUUGUUUGAGAUGAAGAUAUAUCUUCUGAAUCAAGCAGCAUGUCCUGCGAAAGGUCCUGAGUUCGAUUCUUAGCUCCUCCA